Molecule: long non-coding RNA, 1070 nt
Filed under: Elaeis guineensis (African oil palm)
Lineage: Eukaryota; Viridiplantae; Streptophyta; Magnoliopsida; Arecales; Arecaceae
Description: long non-coding RNA (EGUI_LNC030450)
Source: RNAcentral
UGAGAAUCUACAUUAUUUUUGUCAAUUUCCACCCUAGAUGCUUGCCCUGCAUAAUAACAUACAGAAAUGAAAUUUCGUAAAAUCUAAUAAGUUAAGCACUCCAUCAACAAUAGUAUCACAAAAAAUACUAACGUCUAAAAUCUGACCCAUCAAUGCCCGAGUCAAGAAGGCUAAGCAUGUACUGCCUCUUUAAGUGUGGUGGAAGAGAAAAGAACACUACGCUCUUGCUUGGUUCUGCUGCGAGAAUAUCGACCGCCUUUAUCACUUCACCUCCGGUCAACGCCUCCAAUGUAAGUAGCUCCUCUACUACUCUCACUGCAUUCUUCUCAGUCAUCUCUUGUUAAUGUGCCAUUGCUUCAACUAUGAUACCAAAAUGAGUAUCCAUGUGCGACAUAAAUGUCCCAAAGGUCUUAGAAAUAGCCUCUAAAGUCUCCUUCACAAAUUUGGAUUCUCUCAUCAUCCUUGCCUCCUUCUCUUAGAUAACUUUCUACUUCUUUGCCUUCCUCUUAUCUUAAAAAUAGCAUAAUAUCACAAGUAUAUAACAAUAAUAUUGUUAAAAUUCAAAAUAUGAAGUACACAAACAAGUAAAACCAUGUCACAAACAAUUUCAUAACAAGUAAAUAAUUCCAUAACAAGUCCACAACAUACUACAUCCAAUGUUCUAAAAUCACCAACAUACUUGAACCAAAAAAAAAACACAACACAAUCAACUCUUAAAAGGUAUAGAUCUCCAAUUGUUAAACAUUUGUUGAGCUAGAGUGUUCCUGAAAUUGGUUCAAUAGUCAGAUGUCUCAAGAGUGAUGAUGGACUCAACUUCAUCCUCUACCUAUUCUUCCUCUCUUUCCUCUUCCUCUUCACUCUCUUCCUCUUCUUCCUUUUCUAUAGUGUCUCUAUGCAUAUACCUCCUUAUUAAGUUGUGAAGGAGACAACAGACCAUAAUAAUGCGACAUUGGAUCUGUAUAGGGAAGAACAAAGGGCUCCUAAGAAUUGCCCAUCAUCCCUUGAGCAAUCCAAAAUAUCUCUCAAUCACAUUCCUAACUUAGGCAUGUUUCUUCUGAAAUACUCCUCUG